GGCUGCGUUACCACCGACCAGUCCUCAGCCGGCAACAUGAAGCUGGGUGGCCUCUGCCUCCUGCUCCUCCUCGCCGUCCUUCUCACCCUCAAUGCAGAGUUCCAAGCAGUUGAUGUAGGUAUCUGUGUGACGGAGUGCAAGGUAGACCAGGACUGUGGGGCAGGAAGACGAUGCACCAGCAAUGGAUGUGGCCGGGUCUGCUCCCCAGUCCGGCGAAGAGAGGCCUGCGAGCACCAGUGCAGAGAAGACAGGGACUGUGGGAGUGGACAUCAGUGCGUGAGGAAGGGCUGUGGGCACGUCUGCGCCCCCGUCCAUCAAGUCGAUGUAGGUAUCUGUGUGACGGAGUGCAAGGUAGACCAGGACUGUGGGGAAGGAAGACUAUGCAUCAGUAAUGGGUGUGGCCGUGUCUGCUUCCCAGGGCGAAGAGAGGCCUGCGAGCACCAGUGCAGAGAAGACAGGGACUGUGGGAGUGGACAUCAGUGCGUGAGGAAGGGCUGUGGGCACGUCUGCGCCCCCGUCCAUCAAGUCGAUGUAGGUAUCUGUGUGACGGAGUGCCGUGUAGACCAGGACUGUGGGGAAGGAAGACAAUGCACCAGCAAUGGAUGUGGCCGUGUCUGCUCCCCAGCCCAGCAAAGAGAGGCCUGCGAGCACCAAUGCAGAGAAGACAAGGACUGUGGGAGUGGACAUCAGUGCGUGAGGAAGGGCUGUGGGCACGUCUGCUCCCCCAUCCCUCAAGUAGGUAUCUGUGUGACGGAGUGCAAUGUAGACCAGGACUGUGGGGCAGGAAGACGAUGCACCAGCAAUGGAUGUGGCCGUGUCUGCUCCCCACCCCAGGGAGGAGGACUCUGUGUGGACCGCUGCCGAGGAAACUGGGACUGUGGGGCCGGAGAAGAAUGUAUCAGGAAGGGAUGUGGACGGGUCUGCUCUCCAGCCCAGGAGCCAGUGGUAGGUAUCUGUGUGGAUCAGUGCCAAAGACACUGGGAAUGUGGUCCACGGAUGCGGUGUGUCUCCACUGGAUGUGGCCACAUCUGCUCACCAGCCCAAGACCAAGGUAAGAGGUGCAAGCCUUGCCUUCCAAGCCCCUGACUGACUGAAUGCUUGGCUCUG
Molecule: long non-coding RNA, 1107 nt
Filed under: Sus scrofa (pig)
Lineage: Eukaryota; Metazoa; Chordata; Mammalia; Artiodactyla; Suidae
Description: lncRNA (ENSSSCG00025021240.1)
Source: RNAcentral